RNAcentral lists this unclassified non-coding RNA (1742 nucleotides) under Theloderma stellatum (Taylor's bug-eyed frog). RNAcentral's name for it is "partial contains 12S ribosomal RNA, tRNA-Val, and 16S ribosomal RNA". The stretch from base 1 to 501 matches the Rfam family "Bacterial small subunit ribosomal RNA", at positions 794 to 1533 of the family's 1533-position model. The record is from RNAcentral. Lineage: Eukaryota; Metazoa; Chordata; Amphibia; Anura; Rhacophoridae.
GCCAAGUCGUAAAUUAUUAACUUCAACCACGCCAGGGGAUUACGAGCUCCAGCUUAAAACCCAAAGGACUUGACGGUGUCCCAUCCAUUACUAGAGGAGCCUGUCCUAUAACCGAUAACCCACGAUAAACCCAACCAUCUCUUGCCCCCCCAGCCUGUAUACCUCCGUCGCAAGCAUGCCAUAUGAAUGAAUAACAGCAAGGCUCAAGGGCCCCCCGCCAAGACGUCAGGUCAAGGUGCAGCUUACGAGAUGGACAGAGAUGAGCUACAAUUUCUAUUCUAGAACAAACGAAAUUCUACAUGAAACAUAGUCAUGAAGGCGGAUUUAGAAGUAAACAGGAAAUAGAGAGUCCUAUUAAAUUAACCUAGGGACGCGUACAAACCGCCCGUCACCCUCUUCAAUAGUAAUUAGCAAGCUUCAUAACCAAAAACUAUACGCCCUAGAGGAGGCAAGUCGAAACAUGGUAAGUGUACCGGAAGGUGCACUUGGAUUAACAAAAUGUAGCUUAAACAAAGCCACUCGUUUACACCGAGAAAAUGUCCGUGCAAUCAGACCAUUUUGAGCCAAAAAUCUAGCCCAAAUUUUCAUUUGCCAUUUAAUGUAAGAAAAACAAAACAUUUAAACUUUAUAGUAGAGGCGAUCAAAAAAUAUCUAGGCGCUUAAGAGAGAGUACCGCAAGGGAAAGAUGAAAUAGGAGUGAAACAACACCUAAAGCCCACAUUAGCAGAGACACACACUCGUACCUUUGCAUCAUGGCCCGGCCAGUCUAAUCAAGCAAAACGAAAGCUUCAGUUUGACCCCCCGAAACUAGGCGAGCUACUUCAAAACAGCCUUAUGGGCUAAUCCGUCUCUGUUGCAGAAGAGUGGAGAGAUUUUUAAGUAGUGGUUAUAAGCCAAGCGAGCUUAGAGAUAGCUGGUUCCUCGAGAAUAGAAUAUUAGUUCUGCCUUAAAUCUUACAAUAAUUAAGAAUAGCCUCAAAGAUUUAAGAGUUACUCAACUAAGGCACAGCUUAUUUGAGACAGGAUACAGCCUACACUUCCGGGUAAACUCCUAAUAUUAUUACAAGUGGGCUUAAGAGCAGCCACCUUGAAAAGCGUUAUAGCUUAUUAUAAGUUCAUUAAUAAUCCCUUAUUCAACCAUGAACCCUUCCUUCCUAUCGAGGGACUCCAUAAACAUAUGGUAGCCCCCCAUGCUGGGACUAGUAACAAGAAUUUAACAUUCUCCAAAAUGUAAGCUCAAGCCAGACUGGAUGGACCGCUGGCCUCUAACGGAAAUGAGCCAUCAGCAGCAACACAACAAGAAAACCCUGCUUUUUUAACCGUUAACCUUACACUAGAACAUUUCUGGAAAGAUUAAAAGGAUGGGAAGGAACUCGGCAAAACUUAACCCCGCCUGUUUACCAAAAACACCGCCUCUUGAUUACCCAUAGGAGGUCUAGCCUGCCCAGUGAAAAUUAAACGGCUGCGGUACCCUGACCGUACAAAGGUAGCAUAAUCACCCGUUCUUUAAAUGAGGACUCGCAUCAAUGGCAUCACGAGGGCUAAACUGUCUCCCCCCCCCAAUCAGUGAAACUGAUCUCCCCGUGAAGAAGCGGGGAUACAAAUACAAGACGAGAAGACCCCAUGGAGCUUAAAACCACACAGCAACUCUACCCCACAACCCCCUAUAGUACUUAGAGACGUGCAACAAGGUUUUUGGUUGGGGUGACCGCGGAGUAAAAACCAACCUCCACAAUGUAAAGA